Molecule: long non-coding RNA, 96 nt
Organism: Octopus sinensis (East Asian common octopus)
Lineage: Eukaryota; Metazoa; Mollusca; Cephalopoda; Octopoda; Octopodidae
Exons: 4
Source: RefSeq, a predicted model, not a curated record
AAAUUUCAGAAAUAAAAAAAUAACAAGUGGAAAUUUUAACGGUGCGUGUGUUACAUAAUAAGGCACAAAAAGAAAAUGACUUCCCCAGACACAACA